AUACGUAGGGGGCGAGCGUUGUCCGGAAUUACUGGGCGUAAAGGGCGUGUAGGCGGGUGCUUAAGUCAGGUGUGAAAGACCGGGGCUCAACUCCGGGAUUGCACUUGAAACUGGGUAUCUUGGGGGCAGGAGAGGAAAGCGGAAUUCCUGGUGUAGCGGUGAAAUGCGUAGAUAUCAGGAGGAACACCGGUGGCGAAGGCGGCUUUCUGGACUGACCCUGACGCUGAGACGCGAAAGCGUGGGGAGCAAACAGGAUUAGAUACCCUGGUAGUCCACGCCAUAAACGAUGGGCACUAGGUGUAGGAGGUAUCGACCCCUUCUGUGCCGUAGCUAACGCAUUAAGUGCCCCGCCUGGGGAGUACGGUCGCAAGGCUGAA
This 377-nucleotide ribosomal RNA is filed under the name uncultured bacterium. RNAcentral's name for it is "bacterial SSU rRNA". It matches the Rfam family "Bacterial small subunit ribosomal RNA", at positions 523 to 898 of the family's 1533-position model. The record is from RNAcentral.